UGCAAGUCGCGCGAGAUAAGGUAGCAAUACCUGAGUAAAGCGGCGCACGGGUGAGUAACACGUGACUAACCUACCCUCGAGUGGGGAAUAACUUCGGGAAACCGAGGCUAAUACCGCAUAAUACCCACGGGUCAAAGGAGCAAUUCGCUUGAGGAGGGGGUCGCGGCCGAUUAGUUAGUUGGCGGGGUAAUGGCCCACCAAGACGAUGAUCGGUAUCCGGCCUGAGAGGGCGCACGGACACACUGGAACUGAAACACGGUCCAGACUCCUACGGGAGGCAGCAGUGGGGAAUUUUGCGCAAUGGGGGAAACCCUGACGCAGCAACGCCGCGUGGAGGAUGAAGUCCUUCGGGACGUAAACUCCUUUCGAUCGGGACGAUUAUGACGGUACCGGAAGAAGAAGCCCCGGCUAACUUCGUGCCAGCAGCCGCGGUAAUACGAGGGGGGCGAGCGUUGUUCGGAAUUAUUGGGCGUAAAGGGUGCGUAGGCGGUUUGGUAAGUCUCUUGUGAAAACUCCGGGCUCAACUCGGAGCCUGCAGGAGAAACUGCCGGGCUUGAGUGUGGGAGAGGUGAGUGGAAUUCCUGGUGUAGCGGUGAAAUGCGUAGAUAUCAGGAGGAACACCUGUGGCGAAAGCGGCUCACUGGACCAUAACUGACGCUGAUGCACGAAAGCUAGGGGAGCAAACAGGAUUAGAUACCCUGGUAGUCCUAGCCCUAAACGAUGACUGCUUGGUGUGACGGGUACCCAAUCCCGCCGUGCCGUAGCUAACGCGUUAAGCAGUCCGCCUGGGGAGUACGGUCGCAAGGCUGAAACUCAAAGGAAUUGACGGGGGCCCGCACAAGCGGUGGAGCAUGUGGUUUAAUUCGACGC
This 870-nucleotide ribosomal RNA is filed under the name uncultured soil bacterium. Its description in RNAcentral is "bacterial SSU rRNA". It matches the Rfam family "Bacterial small subunit ribosomal RNA", at positions 56 to 957 of the family's 1533-position model. The record is from RNAcentral.